CGGAUGCAUUUAUGAAGGCAAGUGUUGGGUCUUAUUGGCGCCGCACAAGAAACCAACGUGUGAAACCCAGACAUUCACUGUUAGAAACAGGAAGAAGCUGUGGGCCCUUGCUUCAGAUUCUGCAAAAGAUGUACCAAGGCUGAGGAAAUUGGCAAAAAGGGAAGAAAUGCCGUAGCAUAACUUUGGGAUGGCAGAUUGUACACAAAUGGGAGGCCUGAGCAGGCUGCAUUUAGCAGGGGAACAUGACCUGACUGCACAGGAGGCAAGGAACUCUCUUCUCUCGCUGACCAUGAGCCCUCAGUUUCAAGGCAGAUGUGAAGAGGAAUAUUUGACCCGUGGGAAAUGCAACUUCAGAUACGUAACCCAGGUGUCGCUGAAACAAAGAAGUCCAAGAGUACCAGGGAGUUGCCUCCCCUUCAGGAGGAAGGGAAGAAAAACAACUUGCCAGAUGAAG
Molecule: long non-coding RNA, 454 nt
Organism: Falco peregrinus (peregrine falcon)
Lineage: Eukaryota; Metazoa; Chordata; Aves; Falconiformes; Falconidae
Exons: 3
Source: RefSeq, a predicted model, not a curated record